UUUAUUAUUGUUCUUUAUAACGGUGAAAGAAGUUCACGGUCGGGGCUGCCUUGGAUUUAAUGAUGCCGUGUUGUCUUAGAUUUGGAAUAACAUUGCUGUUAGCAGUGUUAGUCACUGAAGUUUGGACGCAGAACCCCCUCUAGGCUCGGUGAGGACAGAAUGUCAAGGGAGUGUUAUGAUGAUGAUGUUGGAGAAGUCUUUUGUUGGAAAGUAUUUUCGUAUCAAUGUGAUUGACAAUAAGGGGGCGCUUCUGUCCCUCUCUCCAAGACUGGCUGCACAGUGUGGAUAUAGCUUAACUGUUGACUUCUUGGGAAAUGCCAAGUUCCUUGCUUCUGUGCUGAGCUGCUUUGCUCAGAACACAAAUGAUGAGACCUACAAGCUGACGGUACAAAUCAGUGUCUUCUCAAACAGUGCUAUGACUUCAGCUUCCUCCUAUGUUCAGAGCAUGACAUGCCGCUAUUCUCCAUGGGUGGAGAGGGAGAUUCUGUGUGAGAGAAACUACAUGGAGGUUUCUGUGAGAAGAGGUGUGCCACUUAUUGAGCCAAACUUUGUUCAAGAUGAUCCUGAUUGGUCCCUUGCAUACCCUGAGGCAACUGCUGCUGACAACAGCAUCUGGAAAAUUGUGUUCCAUCUCCAGCAAAUAGAAAGACAACCAUGACUGUUGCUCAGGCCAUGACAAAUGGCUAUGGCAUAAACACUACACCAACUCGAAUUCUGGUUAGAGCUGCAUACAACUCCACAGAAAGCCAGCCUCAGGUGAUCCAAACUGUACCAAUGGCUGUGCUAAGGUCAACCACCUUUUAUAAGCAAAGAUGGAUGGUCAUGAUGGUGGACACUGCAGUUACAUGUCC
Long non-coding RNA from Acipenser ruthenus (sterlet), 851 nucleotides. RefSeq lists it as uncharacterized. The record is from RefSeq and is a predicted model, not a curated record. Lineage: Eukaryota; Metazoa; Chordata; Actinopteri; Acipenseriformes; Acipenseridae. The transcript has 8 exons.